Molecule: ribosomal RNA, 99 nt
Filed under: Nannospalax galili (Upper Galilee mountains blind mole rat)
Lineage: Eukaryota; Metazoa; Chordata; Mammalia; Rodentia; Spalacidae
Source: RNAcentral
UUCUGUGGCCAUACCACCCUGAAUGCACCCGCUCUUGUUGGAUAUUGGGAGCUAGACAGAUCUGGCCUGGUUAGUACUUGGAUGAAAGAAUCACUGGAA